This is a long non-coding RNA of Brassica oleracea var. oleracea, 1476 nucleotides long. RefSeq lists it as uncharacterized. The transcript has 7 exons. The record is from RefSeq and is a predicted model, not a curated record. Lineage: Eukaryota; Viridiplantae; Streptophyta; Magnoliopsida; Brassicales; Brassicaceae.
UUUCAUUAAUGGUUAUUCAUUUGUGCCGCGAAAACAUCAAAGUUCCAGUGUUCGUCUCUCUUCUCCGUCCAGCCGCGACCUCUGAACUUCAUCACUGAAUCUGAAACGGUCGGAGUUAUGUGUUUUUCGUGUGGUGUUAAAGCCUUAUUAAUUCAAUCUCCAUCAAUCAUCGAUCAUCAGUAAUCUUCGCCACCCUUAGCAUUCAGAAGUGGAUCUCCCAAAUUCCUUUUAUCUCUACCAAUUCCAGUCGAGUUCUUCUGAUUGUAAAAUCAGGAACCUAGUGAGAGUGAGAAGCUACAUUGCCUUAUACCAGCACCUAAAGCAUAUAUGUUACGCCUCUCUCUUGGCCCAGGAGUAUAGAUUAUGUGCCUUAUGAAGAGAUGACAGCAAACAAGAGGCUACGUUCUGUAUGUGAAGGUAACGAGAGGUGUUGAUAAGGCCGAGGGAGAACUCAGUCAACAAGAGAUCUAUGUUAACGCCAAGUGAAACAACAUGCAAUAGCUUCUUCUUCAUCUCUGUUGUACUCUGUUUUCAGAAGCUGAUUAUCCCAGAGUUCAUUGAGUUCAUUUCACCUUGCAGCUCAUAUGCUUUGUCGAUUGUUUUAAUCGGUGUUGCAGACGGGCGAUGGGAAGACAUGAGGAAGUUCGACGACAAGAUCCCUAAGCGUGAAUUUGACAACUUUCAGUUUUGGAAUUUCACAGAGAUCAUGAAGAGAGAUCAUCAGAGUCAGCCAAAGAAGUUGCAUUUGCUCUUGCUGCUCUAAUGGAGAUUCCCUUUCAGUAUCAAGCAGCAACUGAACUCAGCUUUCUCGGGAAAACAACGGGCGUAGCUAAGAAAAUAAACCUGAGGCCACCACCUACUCCUUACACACCUACUAUACGUACUGAACUACCAUCACCUGCACCAGACGAACAUACUCAGAAUUGCCCAAUUUGUCUGACUAACCGGUAAGACGUGGCCUUUGGCUGUGGUCACAUGACUUGUAGAGAUUGCGGAUCCAGGAUAUCAAACUGUCCCAUCUGCAGAGUACUGAUCACAAGCUGGCUAAGGCUUUACACGUGAUCAGUGCCUUUGCAAAUAACAAAACACUUGCACAUACUGUCUUUCUCCAUCUUAGAGUCUCCAGCUUGGUUUACCAAGUGUCUCUGCAUUGUUCAUGAAUCAGCUUGUACCAUUUAAAUAUCCUAUGUACUAUAGAUGUUAGCUUGCAAACAAUGAUGAUGCAGAAAUUUACAAAACAUGGGUUUUACAUUUUUAUUCACUGUCACAAAAAAAAUGUUUGAAGUGAGUGAAUCUUGCACCAGUUCAAAAACAACAAAGCAUGCCAGAUUCAAGAAGAAGAAACAUGCUAUCUUUGCAUCGAAGAAAGAUUCGAGAGUUGAAUUCUUUGGUAAGGCUUCCUGGUAAGAGUCUCUCCUUUUAGAGCAGCCAUGUAUCUGUCGUUGGUAUCUUGCUUCUGUUUCAAUUCCCCGAGGU